CCAUGGAGACGGAGGGACGCGCGAGCGCCCGGCCGUGAGGCGCCGUCCCUCGGCGCGGGGGGUAAAGCCUCCAUGGCCAUGGGAAUUCCCGUGUGCCCAGCCUCCCCCGGCCCUCGAACGCCUUUCCCUGGCUCAACGGGAACGCGUCGUGGAGAACCAGACUUUAAGUAGUUUAUUUAGUACCAGCACUCGUCCCAUAAAGAUCACUUCAUAUUUCCAGGAAGGCUCUACCAACAACUGGACAGACACAAAUGAUACACUGCAGAUAAAACAUGAUAUGUAACAAGCAGAUAAAACUAAGAGGGAAGUAGUUUAUCUUUGUUUUUCAGUUGUUUCUUGCUGACACCUGUUUACUGAAAGAAAAAUUAACCAAAAAUAUGAGUGACAUUGUAUUUCAACUAUUGAUUCCAGUUUUUUUUUAUUCCUUCAGGGCACAGCAUGAGCAAAAUAUAUCAGAAUAAUUCACUCUUUUUUAAAGAUUAAUGACAACAACACAAGUUUCCGCUCCCCUGCCCAAGUGUUUCUUAAAGGACAAAAUACAUAUUUCACAAGGAUUCCUUAAUAAUGAAUUUUUUUUUUUUAUUAUAAGGUUCCCAUAAAACCGUGUAAGACUGUGAUUAAAAAAAUCUUCUGUUCACAGCUCCUCUGACAGGACUGUGUAGAGACCAUCCACAGCAAAGUGGCAUGAAUUGAAGAGUGACACUGUCAUUUUAAUUGGGAUAUUUACAUAUAAACGAAUGAAAGCUAUCUCUGGGACCAGAGGAACAGAAAUUUUGUGAGCAAAGACUCUAGUGCUCAAUAAAUGAAAGAGAAUAUUCUGA
This is a long non-coding RNA of Vidua chalybeata, 821 nucleotides long. RefSeq lists it as uncharacterized. The record is from RefSeq and is a predicted model, not a curated record. Lineage: Eukaryota; Metazoa; Chordata; Aves; Passeriformes; Viduidae. The transcript is spliced from 2 exons.